AUCCGGCUGACGAGUCCCAAACAGGACGAAACGCGCGUCCUGGAU
This is a non-coding RNA of Schistosoma haematobium, 45 nucleotides long. Lineage: Eukaryota; Metazoa; Platyhelminthes; Trematoda; Strigeidida; Schistosomatidae. The record is from Rfam.